Molecule: ribosomal RNA, 407 nt
Filed under: uncultured bacterium
Lineage: Bacteria
Description: partial 16S ribosomal RNA
Rfam family: Bacterial small subunit ribosomal RNA
Source: RNAcentral
AUUGAACGCUGGCGGCAGGCCUAACACAUGCAAGUCGAGCGGAGCGGCGGACGGGUGAGUAAUGCCUAGGAAUCUGCCUGGUAGUGGGGGAUAACGUCCGGAAACGGGCGCUAAUACCGCAUACUAUCAGAUGAGCCUAGGUUGGAUUAGCUAGUUGGUGGGGUAAAGGCCUACCAAGGCGACGAUCCGUAACUGGUCUGAGAGGAGGAUCAGGCACACUGGAACUGGUACACGGUCCAGACUCCUACUGGAGGCGUCAGUGGGGAAUAUUGGCCAAUGGGCGAAAGCCUGAGCCAGCCACGCCGCGUAUGUUAAGAAGGUCUUCGGAUUGUAUAGCACUUUAAGUUAGCAGGCGUUACCAACAGAAUAAGCACCGUCUAACUUCGUGCCAGCAGCCGCGUUAAUUC